This is a non-coding RNA of Rattus norvegicus (Norway rat), 661 nucleotides long. The record is from RefSeq and is a predicted model, not a curated record. NCBI's taxonomy places the organism in Eukaryota, Metazoa, Chordata, Mammalia, Rodentia, Muridae.
GGCAGUGCAAAACUGCCAUUCUCUGUGGCACUCAGGUAUAUCAUCGCCUAUCUGCCAGUUGGUCUCAGAAGAUAUGAAUACAGCUUUAAGAGGCUGCCUAGAUUGUGACAUGAUAGCCACGGAGAAACACAAGGGACAAACUGAAUACAAAACUCAGAGUCAACUGAUUUAUCUAAAUCAAGUAGUGGUGAAUCACAGCUUCAAUCAGCCAUGCAAUCAUGAGGGGAGCCAACACAACGUUUACCGUGCUCUGUGAUAAGCCAGGGUCUUCUGUAAGUAGUGAGAAGGUUCUUUAUCUCACCGGAUCUUUGCAGGCAUUGAAGGCUAAACUUCAAAAGUUAACACUGGACAUUCUGAAUGAAUCAAGGACCGCAUGAGGAUUUCAUGUAUCGGUGGAACUUAUUUGGUGGUCACACAGGCUUUCUAUGCAUUUUCUUUAGUUUUGCAGUAAUGAAAAAUUAUAAAGAAAGAAGUAACCAUGAGUUUUAAACAAAGACUCUAUACUGAAAUUGUAACUGUGAACCCUAAUGGCUCAAAAGGAAGCCAUCUACUGUUUAUGAAACUCAGUUUCCCUACCUGCAGUGCCAUGGUAAUAAUAUUCCUUUUCAGUGCAGCUUCAUGAAACUGUAUGAUACAGAACAAUACAAGUACAUUGCAUAUG